This 500-nucleotide ribosomal RNA is filed under the name uncultured bacterium. RNAcentral describes it as "partial 16S ribosomal RNA". It matches the Rfam family "Bacterial small subunit ribosomal RNA", at positions 29 to 523 of the family's 1533-position model. The record is from RNAcentral.
AUUGAACGCUGGCGGCAUGCCUUACACAUGCAAGUCGAACGGCAGCACGGGCUUCGGCCUGGUGGCGAGUGGCGAACGGGUGAGUAAUACAUCGGCACGUGCCCUGUAGUGGGGGAUAACUAGUCGAAAGAUUAGCUAAUACCGCAUACGACCUGAGGGUGAAAGCGGGGGACCGUAAGGCCUCGCGCUACAGGAGCGGCGGAUGUCUGGUUAGCUAGUUGGUGGGGUAAGAGCCUACCAAGGCGACGAUCAGUAGCUGGUCUGAGAGGACGAUCAGCCACACUGGGACUGAGACACGGCCCAGACUCCUACGGGAGGCAGCAGUGGGGAAUUUUGGACAAUGGGGGCAACCCUGAUCCAGCAAUGCCGCGUGUGUGAAGAAGGCCUUCGGGUUGUAAAGCACUUUUGUCCGGAAAGAAAUGGCUCUGGUUAAUACCUGGGGUCGAUGACGGUACCGGAAGAAUAAGCACCGGCUAACUACGUGCCAGCCGCCGCGGUAA